This 6871-nucleotide long non-coding RNA is filed under the name Ananas comosus (pineapple). RNAcentral describes it as "long non-coding RNA (ACOM_LNC033130)". Lineage: Eukaryota; Viridiplantae; Streptophyta; Magnoliopsida; Poales; Bromeliaceae. The record is from RNAcentral.
ACGGAUUGAGGUCGGCGGCGGAGCGGCGGUUCUCGACCAAUUUGCCUGAGCGGUUCGGAUUCUUCGAAGCAAUGGCAUAAAGGAAUUUGGUCAGAGUUUCUAUACUUCUCUAAUUUGGUCUUCUCGGUUUUACGAAAAGCUUUUUUUGGUAUUUUUCUUGGAGUUUUCGUUGGAACAAGAAAGGUGAGAUUCACCAUAAGGUUCUUGGUUUUUUAUCCGGAGAAGACAUAAAGUGUAAGCUUGUACUUCUAUUUCUUCAUAUAGUGGAAUACAUCUCUCUCGCUCUCCCCGUGGACAUAGGCAAUUGCUGAACCACGUAAAUCUUGGUUUCUUCUUUCUGCAUUUAUUUCUUUUACCGUUCGUUCGGUCGAUUUUCUCUAUUUUUCGUGCAUCUUUGUUGGUAGCACAUGACGGACGAUCCAUCCGGUUCCCAACAAGUGGUAUCAGAGCGUAAGGUUCGUGCUACAUCAGAGAUGUCGAAAGUCUCGUCUUCUAAGUUUGAGGUGGAGAAAUUUGACGGUAAAGGAAACUUCGGUCUCUGGCAGAGAAGAGUGAAAGCCCUUCUGGUUCAACAGGGCCUUCAUAAGGCGUUGCUCGGAAAAUCGAAAAAGCCGUCAUUGAUGAGCGACGAAGAUUGGGAGGAUAUUGAUCUGCGAGCGGUGAAUACAAUUAUAUUGUGUCUAGCAGAUGAGGUGAUGUAUAACGUAAUGGAUGAAGAAACUACAGUCGGCAUGUGGAACAAGCUAGAGAAGCUGUACAUGACCAAAAGCCUCUCGAACGUGCUGUACCUAAAGCAAAAAUUAUAUGGGCUACGCAUGAAGGAAGGUACGGCAAUAACGGAACACUUGAACACCUUUAAUAAAAUUAUUGCAGAUUUGUUCAGCAUUAAUGUCAAGGUUGACGAGGACGAUAAGGCGUUGAUUUUUCUUAUAUCACUUCCGCCGUCCUACAAUCACUUGGUGACCACCAUACUGUACGGGAAGCAAACUCUAAAGAUGGAAGAUGUUACAUCGACACUUUUAUCUAAAGAGAUCAGGUUGCAGGCGAGUACCGAAGAAAGCAGUGCAGGUUUGGUCGUAAAUGAUACAAGUGGAAGAAGGGGACGAUCAAGAGAACGUGAUGCAGGUAAAGGAAGAUCCCGUUCCAAGUCAAAAUCGAAAAAGGUGAAGUGUUACUUCUGUAAGAAAGAGGGCCACAUGAAAAAGAACUGCGAAAAGAGGAAGGCUUGGCUGCGAAAUCAAAAUUCCUUUGCAGAUACGGCGAGCGUAGCUAGUGACUCCGGUCAGGACGUCUUGACGGUUACAACAGAUUCUGACUCUCACGGUGACUGGAUAUUAGAUUCUGGUUGUUCUUAUCACAUGUCUCCAGACAGGUCUUUAUUUGAUACUUAUAAGUCUUGUGACGGCAGUAGUGUUAUGAUGGGUAAUCGCACUAGCUGCAAGAUGGUCGGUAUCGGAACAGUAAAAAUAAAGAUGUUUGAUGGUGUGGUGAGGACGUUAACGGAUGUGAGACACAUUCCGGAUCUCAGGUUAAAUCUUAUAUCACUUGGUACUCUUGACUCUACUGGCUGUUCUAUUAGUAUUUCAGGUGGAGUCGUCAAGGUUAAAAAGAGUGCCAUGGUCGUCAUGAAGGAAGAGAAGAAAGGGAAUCUGUAUAGGCUGAUCGGCGAGUCGGUGAUUGGAGGCGUUGCGGUAACAUCCUCAGAAGAUCAUGAUGCUGAUGAUACGGAGCUCUGGCACAUGAGACUAGCCCACAUGAGUGAAAGAGAGAUGUUGGAACUGCAUAAAAGGGAAGUACUCAAAGGUAUUAAAUCCUGUAAACUUAAUUUCUGCAAAUAUUGUUUAUUUGGAAAACAGAAAAAGUUGAAUUUCAGGACCUCCAGUCAUAAAAGCAAAAGUAUACUUGAGUACAUCCAUGCGGACGUGUGGGGACCGGCUCCGGUGACUUCGAAAGGUGGUGCGCGAUAUUUUAUUACAUUUAUUGAUGAUUUCUCCCGUAAGGUUUGAGUAUUCUUCAUGAAGGAAAAGUCUGAGGCAUUUGUAAAGUUCAGACAUUGGAAGAAUGAAGUGGAGAAACAAACUGGAAAGCAGGUCAAGGUUCUUCGAACGGACAAUGGUGGAGAGUUCACUUCUCGGGAGUUUAAAAAAUUCUGCAAGGAUGAAAGUAUUGUACGUCAUUACACGGUUCCAGGUACUGCACAGCAGAAUGGGGUAGCAGAAAGGAUGAACCGGACAUUACUAGAACGUGCCAGAUCCAUGAGGUUAUGUGCAGAUUUGCCAAAGGAGUUCUGGGCUGAAGCAGUAGAUAUGGCGUGCUAUAUUAUUAAUCGAUCUCCCGCCACAGCAAUCGAACUCAAAACACCGGAGGAAGUAUGGACAGGUAAACUUGCAGAUUAUUCCUCCUUACGGGUCUUUGGUUGUCCUGCUUAUGUCCAUAUCCAGGAAAAUCAGCGCACAAAAUUAGAUUCGAAGUCAAAGCCCUGCAUAUUUCUUGGGUACGAUAUGGGUGUUAAAGGAUACAAGCUGUGGGACCCUAUCGCCAAGAAGAAGGUGAUUAGCAGGGACGUAGUUUUUGACGAAAAAGCUAUGCCGCGUAAGGAUCAUCAGGAGGCUCAACGUGAAGAACAGUCAAAAACUACGCAGAUCCAGGUGGAGCGGCAAGAGGGUGUAGAUGAUCAGGUGGAGCAGCCCCACUAUCAGGAUGAUCAUGGUACACAAAGCGAUCCGAUUGAAAGCACUUCGGAGGAGCCCUACUCUAUCGCUAAAGGAAGGGAAAGGAGACAGAUUCGUCCACCUUUACGGUACAGGUUGGAGGAUAUAGUAUCUUAUGCCUUAUUAAUUACAUCAGAUGAUCCCACUUCCUAUCAGGAGGCGAUGCAGGACAGAGAUAGUGGCAGAUGGAUGGCGGCUAUGACAGAAGAGAUGGAGUCUCUACAGAAGAAUCAGACAUGGGAUCUGAUUCCAUUACCGGAAGGGAAGAGAUCUAUCGGUUGCAAGUGGAUCUACAAAAAGAAGCAGGGUGCAGAUGGAGAACCAGAAAAAUUCAAGGCGCGGUUAGUAGCCAAGGGCUAUGCGCAAGUAAAGGGAGUUGAUUUCAAUGAGAUUUUCUCACCGGUGGUGAAACACGCGUCAAUUAGGAUGCUUCUAGCUAUGGUGGCUAUGUUUGAUUUAGAGCUUCAGCAGCUUGACGUUCGAACCGCAUUUCUUCAUGGGGAUCUAGUAGAAGAAAUUUAUAUGGAACAACCUCAAGGUUUUGUUCAGCCGGGGAAGGAGAAUCUGGUGUGCAAACUGAAAAGAUCUCUCUACGGGUUGAAGCAGGCACCGAGGCAGUGGUAUAAGCGGUUUGACGGGUUUAUGAUCGAGCAUGGUUAUAGCAGAAGUUUAUAUGACAGUUGUGUCUACUAUCGGAGGCUUGAAGAUGGUUCGUUUAUUCUGCUUAUGCUAUAUGUAGACGAUAUGCUUAUAGCAGCUAAGAAUCCGAAUGAAGUGCAACAAUUAAAGGAUCAGUUGAGCCGAGAAUUUGACAUGAAGGACCUAGGAGGUGCUAGGAAAAUCCUAGGUAUGGAGAUCAGACGCGACCGCAUACAGGGUAAGUUAUGGUUAUCGCAGAAGACAUAUAUACGAGCUAUUAUAAAGCAAUUUAAUAUGUCAGAGGCGAAGGCGGUCAAGACUCCAUUAGCCCAACACUUCAAACUUUCUGAGGAGAUGUGUCCCAAGACGGAUGAGGAGAUUACUUCUAUGUCAAAGAUACCAUAUGCUAGUGCAGUCGGUUGCCUGAUGUAUGCUAUGAUCUGCACUAGGCCUGAUCUUUCACAUGCAGUUAGUGUUGUCAGUCGGUAUAUGUCGAAUCCAGGAAAACAACACUGGGAGGCCGUGAAGUGGAUUUUGCGGUAUCUGAAGGGCACAUCAGAUAAAGGUAUUCUCUACUCGAAAGAUUCUGGUAAUGAUGAAGUGAAGGGGUUUGUAGAUUCCGACUAUGCGGGUGAUUUGGACAAGCGUAGGUCUAUUACAGGUUACGUCUUUCUGCUGGGCGGCGGACCUAUCAGUUGGAAAUCUACGUUGCAGCGCACUGUAGCCUUGUCAACUACAGAAGCGGAGUAUAUGGCGGCAAUUGAAGCAGCUAAGGAAGCAGUCUGGCUUAGAGGCUUGGUUGGUGAACUCGGGAUCAUGCAGGAAAAAAUGAUUAUCGGUUGUGAUAGUCAGAGUGCUAUAUGUCUCGCCAGGAAUCCAGUUUACCAUGGGAGGACAAAGCACAUAGAAAUCAAGUAUCACAAAUUACGGGAGCUCACUAAUGAGGAUGAUGGAGAAAUUCAGCUUAUAAAGGUUUCCACAAAGGAUAAUGUAGCUGACAUCAUGACAAAGCCGGUAACAGCGGAUAAGUUUAGACACUGUCUAAACUUGGCUAAUUUGCAUGACUGCUAAUGACUGAAUGCCUCAGGGAGAGGGGGCGAUAAGAUGAGAGAGAGUAAUGAAGUAAAAAAGAAGUCAAGGUGGAGAAUGUUAAAGAUAUGCCUUCUUUUUUAUUGGUUUUGUCCAUGCACCGGGUCUACGGAAUAUAUUAAUUCUUAAAGUUGAUUCACGUUGGUGUAAGAGAUGAGGCUGAAUCUAAUUAAUAUUGGGAUUGCAUGCAUCAAAACCAUAUUCGGUUUAUACUUCUCAAACCGACUCCAAUUAACAUUGGUUGACUUUUGACCGGGUUAAUUAGCACUAUAUAUUCAUGCUGGGGUGAACCGUACGAUGCGUCAUGUGGUAGAAAUUUAAUUAGCAUCGGGCUAAUUAAUUCACAGCUUCCUAUAGCCGUACGGUAGCAAGAAAAAGAGAUGCGCGGUAGCACGCAUGCGACGGAUUGACGUUGGCGGCGGAGCGGCGGUUCUCAACCAAUUGCCUGAGCGGUUCGGAUUCUUCGAAGCAACGGCAUAAAGGAAUUUGGUUAGAGUUUCUAUACUUCUCUAAUUUGGUCUUCUCGGUUUUACGAAAAGCUUUUUUUCGGUAUUUUUCUUGGAGUUUUCGUUGGAACAAGAAAGGUGGGAUUCACCAUAAGGUUCUUGGUUUUUUAUCCGGAGAAGACAUAAGGUGUAAGCUUGUACUUCUAUUUCUUCAUAUAGUGGAAUACAUCUCUCUCGCUCUCCCCGUGGACGUAGGCAAUUGCCGAACCACGUAAAUCUUGGUUUCUUCUUUCUGCAUUUAUUUUUUUACCGUUCGGUCGAUUUUCUCUAUUUUUCGUGCAUCUUUGUUGGUAGCACAUGACGGACGAUCCAUCCGGUUCCCAACAAGAAUAUAUAAAUAUAAUUUUUAUUGUAAAUUUUUGGAUAAAUAUAAUGUAAAAAUAUUAACUUAAAAUAAAUUAAAUUAAUUGUUAUGUGCAUUUGUACGUACGCUGAGGGUGUGUUUGGUUAGAAGUCAUAAUCAGUAUCGGAAUCAGAAUGAGAUUAAGCGGGAACGAAUCGGAAUGAUUCAUUAUGUCUUUCUGUUUGGUUCGUUAUCUGAAUCGGAAUAAAUUAUUCUCAUUGUCGAUGUUUAGUUUAAAUAAAUAUCAGAAACGUAAUCAAAUUUAUAUACCAAUUUUAUCUUUAUAAUAUAUUAGUUUAAAUUCAAAUUGAAAAUUCAAUAUUAAAAAUUUACGUCAAAAUUUUAAAAUGAUGUAAAAAUUUUAAAUAUAAUUUUUAAAAAAAUUAAAAUUUGAAAUUGAACGGAUAAUUAAAAAUAUAAAACUAAAUUUUGAUUUAUUCAAAUUCAAACUUAAAAUUGUAAUUUAAAUUUCAAGUUGAAUUCAUAAAUUUAAUUUAAAUUUUAAAUAAAAUUUGAAUAAAAAUUUAGAUUUUAAAUUAAAUUUAAAUUCAAAUUUAUAAAUUAAAUUCUAAAUGUUUGAUAUAAUUUUAAUUUUAAUUAAAGUUCAAAUUUAAAUUUAAAUUUAUAAAUAUAAUUUUUAAACUAAAGCUUAUAUUUUUAAUUAAAAAAAUAAGUUUAAAAAUAUUAAAUUUAAUCCGAACAAAUUUAUUUCAUCUGAAUUCAAUUUUCAACCCGGCCUUAUAUAAAUGGAUUCGUCCAUUCCAAUUCUAGGAUAAAAAAAUAGGCGAACCAAACACGCCCUCGGCUAGUCUAUACUACUUAUAAAAGCGUGAGUUUUAAAUUAUUUUUCCUUUCCAAAAAUGCCUCUAUCUUUUCUAUUAAUAUUUUCAUGUCCAAUAAUUUUUAACCAAUCAUUCAAAUAAUUAAUCAAAUAAUAAUUUAUUCUCAAAUAUAAAUAUUAAGUAUAUAUAAAGUUUUUACUCUUGGAUCUCAUUCAAUGAUUGAAAAUAAAAGUAUCUGUCACUUUUCUUGACGAAAAUACCCUCAAUAUCAGUUAUGUCCUAUUUACGUGUUUCUUAAAUAUUUUCUUUUACGCGUACCCAAAAUUAUCCAUAAUUAAUUACCCGCCAAUCCUUUCUCAAAUCACAUAGUACCCAAAAUUACCCAAAAUUAAAUUAUCCGCAAUCCUCUUAUUUUUGACCUAAUGCCCACGUUUCCUCUAAAAAAAAAUAUUCCCGCCAAUCACUUAGUACCCAAAAUUUCCAAUCACGUAGUACCCAAAAUUACCCAAAAUUAAAUUACUUGCCAAUCCUCUCAUUUUCUUAAAUAUAAAUAUCUAUGUCCUCAAUUUUUUUUAGUAAUAUCCUUUUUCAUUUGUUCCCGUGCCCACACAUCUUCAUCCUCCUCAUCGCCAUUGCCGACUGUAACACAUUGUCACCUUCAUCACCUUCGCCAUAGUUAGAGAGGUCCCGUCGCCGGCACCGGCACAUCGUCGUCAUCCUUGGCACAUUGUCGCGCCUCCGUCACCUUCGCCACAAUUGGUGAGGUAUUUUGAUCCUAUCUAAAAAUUUUUCUUUUUUUAA